GUAGGUGGCAAGCGUUGUCCGGAAUUAUUGGGCGUAAAGCGCGCGCAGGCGGUUCUUUAAGUCUGAUGUGAAAGCCCACGGGCUCAACCGUGGAGGGUCAUUGGAAACUAGAGAACUUGAGUACAGAAGAGGAAAGCGGAAUUCCACGUGUAGCGGUGAAACGCGUAGAGAUGUGGAGGAACACCAGUGGCGAAGGCGGCUUUCUGGUCUGUAACUGACGCUGAGGCGCGAAAGCGUGGGGAGCAAACAGGAUUAGAUACCCUGGUAGUCCACGCCGUAAACGAUGAGUGCUAAGUGUUAGGGGGUUUCCGCCCCUUAGUGCUGCAGCUAACGCAUUAAGCACUCCGCCUGGGGAGUACGGCCGCAAAGGCUG
RNAcentral lists this ribosomal RNA (373 nucleotides) under uncultured organism. RNAcentral describes it as "partial 16S ribosomal RNA". It matches the Rfam family "Bacterial small subunit ribosomal RNA", at positions 527 to 896 of the family's 1533-position model. The record is from RNAcentral.